CACGAUGACCUCGGUCAGGUAG
This 22-nucleotide ribosomal RNA is filed under the name Nephroma occultum. Its description in RNAcentral is "partial 26S ribosomal RNA". Lineage: Eukaryota; Fungi; Ascomycota; Lecanoromycetes; Peltigerales; Nephromataceae. The record is from RNAcentral.